Crotalus tigris (Tiger rattlesnake) is the source of this 481-nucleotide long non-coding RNA. RefSeq lists it as uncharacterized. Lineage: Eukaryota; Metazoa; Chordata; Lepidosauria; Squamata; Viperidae. The transcript has 2 exons. The record is from RefSeq and is a predicted model, not a curated record.
AAGGCUUUAUGUCCCGGAGGUAGACAAAUGCCGCCAUUUUAGAGUGUGGGAGGAAAACGUUCCCUUCCCUCUCUCCUCACAGAGGGAUGCAAUUAAGAAGCUUUUUACAGGAAGAUACUUGUGAUACAAAGAAGUUCAAAGAGUUGCCAAGGAUCAAACGAGAGGGCUGCCGCCCUUCCACGAUCACUCGAGAGUCCUCUUCACGUUCAUCGCCCUUCCAGGGCGACCUCCAACCCUUUUCAGGGUCCCCCGGUGGGAGAAAACUGGAUGGCGGAGGGAGCAAUCACCCUGCACGUCUGCCAGCGCCGAAAUCACAAACUGGAAGCCAAAUAUCAGCUUCUUCUGAUUGAGCUGCAGAAAUCUUAAGUAAUCAGCAACACACUUUCUUGCGAUUUCCAGUUUAACAGCAAUGGUGUUAAAGUCAGGAAGGGAAGCAAAUUUGGUUGAUGAACUAACUAAUAAAUACAUAUGACCUAGAAAA